Molecule: long non-coding RNA, 94 nt
Organism: Sebastes umbrosus (honeycomb rockfish)
Lineage: Eukaryota; Metazoa; Chordata; Actinopteri; Perciformes; Sebastidae
Exons: 3
Source: RefSeq, a predicted model, not a curated record
UUUUUGUGAAAUCCGCUAGUAACGUUAGCUUUUAGCAGCCGUUGGGCAGCACGGUCCUGCUUGGCUUAAUAACGGAGCUACUAACGUUAACAGA